GAGGGGUAGAAAUCGAAAGAUUCAUUGUAACGUCCCCUGUACUUGUCUGCAAAUUCGAAUAACUGAAUUGGAUUUCCUUAACAGCUCCGUAGAGUAAUUGGAAUCAACCCCUUGGAAGACUAAUGAAGCAGCGGAAAGUGCAGCGGCAGCAUCGGCUGCGGCUUCGGAGCCUAGUGAAUCAGAAGUUAUUUUAUAGAGUGUUCGAGGGGUGUCCAUGUCUUCGGGCCGCUCCCAAUAUUAGUGAUCAUCUUUUCCAUCCCCC
Hibiscus syriacus is the source of this 262-nucleotide long non-coding RNA. RefSeq lists it as uncharacterized. NCBI's taxonomy places the organism in Eukaryota, Viridiplantae, Streptophyta, Magnoliopsida, Malvales, Malvaceae. The transcript is spliced from 3 exons. The record is from RefSeq and is a predicted model, not a curated record.